AGCGCCUCCCCUACGCGGACAAAGGUGGGCGAGGAGGGCUUCGGCCUGGGCUCCUCGCUGGGCUCCGCGCGGGGGAACGCGGCAGCACAGUGGCCCCAGCAACAAGGUGGGGCGUGUACGCGUCGGGAGUGGAGUGUUGAGGCGAGGAGUCAUGGUGUCUAUGAGGAUAACACAGAAGCCCCGUCAGGGACCCCGAAACAGCUGAUGGCGAUUCUGCUACCUGCUUAGCAGAACCAUUUAAAGAGCAAAUGCAGGGUUGGUGUGGAAGGCUCCAGCACAUUCGAUGGGCUGAUUGAUGUGAAGUGUUUACAGUAGGCCCUGGGAAUGUCGGAAGGACGUGGUAGGUAUAAAUACUACAUACAUAUCCACUUCCUUACUCUCUUUUCUUCUUUCCUUAGUUUUACAAGUAUCUGGAUGAAACAAACUUUAAAAAGUGAGAACAGCUCCUUGGUUUUUUUUUGGCAGGGGGGGACUGUUUCUUAGCCACUAUGAAAUUUUUUUGUAGUAGCUCUUUUUCUUAGCAUUUCCCACCCUCUUCUCUGCUGUGACGGGGGACUGUUUUCAGCCAGAGGUCUUUAAUUGUUUGGGCUUGAGUUACUGAGGGCCCGAGCUAAAAUGCAGUUAUGGUGCUGGAAGGGACACCACGUAGACUCACUAACUGCUGAUCCCUCAGCUUAAUGUGAAUCCUUGCCCUUUACCAUCAGCACAGGGUCUUCUGAUGUCUUACUUCAUUUUAAUGUCUCUGAGAGAGAAGCACAAAAGAGCCCGUUAUUCCUGUUUUAGUGAUGGCGAUAUCCUAGGCUGAGAGAGGUAAGGCGACACAGCUGAUCAGUGACAGUGGGAUUUGCUCGUGGGUCUCUCCGAUUCCCGGGGCUAACUUCGCACCCAGAUGGCGUAUGGGAGUACAGUUUGAGGAGCUCUGGGAAGCUCGCUCUGAAAUCUCUGAUGCCUUAAAUCCUGCCAUUGAUGCAUCAUUGUUUUGAGCUGGUGCUACCUUAAGAAUUCACUGUGAUUUAGUUCAAGACCCUUGUCUCUGGCAAUCCCAGGGUGGCCUAAGAACAAGGUGCUCUGAAAGAGGGUACAAAAAGAAUCGCCAAUCCAGGUACAAAGCCUGCCAGCCUCUCUGUGGCCCUGUCGGGUUCUCUCUGUGCAGCUGCAAGCUGGGAGGAGAGUGACACCGCCACCAAAUGCUCGCCGCCCUGGAGUCCAGACAUCACUCACCUGCCAGCUUACACUGAUAGAAGCUGCGAUAUAGCAGAAAUUGCAAUGGCUUUGAGCCAAGAGGGGCAGUAUUCACAUCCCAGCCAUGAGCCUCAGUUUCCUCAUUUCUAAAAUGGAAGUAAUGAUUUCCCUACUUGCUUCACAGGGUUGUGAGGCCCAGUGAGAAGUCCCACUGCCAAGUGCUGUACAGCAAAAGAUUGUCCAAGUUGGGUUUCUGUCACCUGUAGCUGGAGAUCACUGUGUGGCACAGUUCCUGAGUUGGACUCAGGAGAGGGUCAUUCACACUGACUCAGGAUGACAACAGGAAGCUGUCUGGUUCAUUUACCAGGAGAAAGUCAGCUGCUCACUGACUCAGGCAUGAUUGCUUGUGCCCCUUUCCCUGGAGAAAAACCACCUGGGAACCUGCUUGAUAAACAGGCCCCAGUGCUAGCAGCGGUUUAAAAAAAUCUUUUUAAUUGAAAUAUAGUUGAAAUACAAUAUUAUGUUGGUUUCAGGUGCACUAUGUGGUGAUACGACAGUUAUUUACAUUGCUAAAUGCUCACCAUGGUAAGUGUAGUUACCAUCUAUCAACACACAGAUUUUACAAUACUAUUGACUAUCUUUCCUAUGCUGUACUUUCAUUCCCAUGACUGGUUUAUUUUAUAAUUGGAAUUUUGUACCCCUUUAUCCCCUUCCCUGUUUUUUAUGUCUCCCUACCCUCCUCCCCUGUGGCAACACCAGUCUGUUCUCUGUGUUUAUGAGUCUGUUUCUGCCAGCAGGGAUCUUCAUGGCUGGUGACAUCAAGCUAGGAUUGCCCAGGCAAUUGACCACCCUCUUCAGUCCACACCCUCCUGCAGAUGAAGCUCAGGACCUAUGAGUGGGCUUAAGUGCCUAAUAACACAACCAGCCUGGCUUUCCACACUGCAGGCUCAGACCUGCUUGGUGCGGCUGCUCCUGACACUUCCCAGGGCAGCUGUCCUGCCCCCAGUCCUGUGAGAGGCACAUCGUUUAAGCCCACAAUGGAGGGGCCAAGGUGAGCCUUCUGCCAGAGGCCAGGCAGGGCAUUGGCCCGCUGCGGUCAGUGAUUCGGGGCCUGGCUUGUAAACAGGAGCGGUCUUAAAACACCCAGAGAAAGCUGCUGUUAAUGGUGGACUCUGUGGCUGGAGACUGAGUAGAUCAGGAGCUGAGGUGGCUGCAGGCGGCCAGGUGCCAGUUAAAGUCACAAGGGAGUAGAGACUGUGGUGAGAAAGAAAGGUGGGUGGGAAAAUAUAACAGACUGGGUGCCCUGGAGCCAGACACACAGCUGACUAAGAGGUAAACACAGCAGCUGAAUCCCAGAACUGCCCAGUUGCUGGCCGUUCUUGAGGCUUGGCUAGGGUCUUCACUGUGUCUUCCUAACCUCCCCCACCUUACCUGGGGUAUUCUGGGUGAUCCCACAUUUCUUUGGUAUACUCUCCCAUACCCAAAGCUGUGACUGAAGCAGGUCAUUUCUGCUGCUGGCUGGGUACAUUCCUUGCACAUGACCUUCUGAUUUUAAUCUCAGAUCUUGAAACAUCAGGUGGGGUCUCCUUGCUGUCUUGGUAUCUGUAGGUUGGAAUCUUGCCUCAGCCACUAAAACUCACAGAUGGAUGACCUGGGCCUCACUUUCCUCACCUCUUUAAUAGCCAUCCUGAAGCACACUCCGUUUUUUAGGACAGUGUUGAAUGUUAUCUGAGUCCUAUGCUCCUGAAAGGCAGUGAUGGUUAAGAAAUUCUCCUACUGCUUUAAGUUCUGGGGAAACAGCUAACUGCAAAGGACCACCUUGCUCUAGUAUAUUCUAAGAAAAACUCAUCUCCAUCCUUUCUUACUAUUCCCAUAAGACUUGUGGAUGACUCCCUUGUUUACUUGCCUCUUUAAAACCCCAGGCUUCCUUCCUUUUCUUUGAGAUGUUCCUCCUUCAUGAAUAUUUUCUCUAUUGCA
Molecule: long non-coding RNA, 3159 nt
Organism: Manis pentadactyla (Chinese pangolin)
Lineage: Eukaryota; Metazoa; Chordata; Mammalia; Pholidota; Manidae
Exons: 4
Source: RefSeq, a predicted model, not a curated record